ACUCAAUAGAUACCCCGGUAGUCCACGCCCUAAACGAUGUCUACUAGUUGUCGGGUCUUAAUUGACUUGGUAAACGCAGCUAAACGCGUGAAGUAGACCGCCUGGGGAGUACGGUCGCAAGAUUAAAACUCAAAGGAAUUGACGGGGACCCGCACAAGCGGUGGAUGAUGUGGAUUAAUUCGAUGCAACGCGAAAAACCUUACCUACCCUUGACAUGGAUGGAAUCCCUGAGAGAUUGGGGAGUGCUCGAAAGAGAACCAUUACACAGGUGCUGCAUGGCUGUCGUCAGCUCGUGUCGUGAGAUGUUGGGUUAAGUCCCGCAACGAGCGCAACCCUUGUCAUUAGUUGCUACGAAAGGGCACUCUAAUGAGACUGCCGGUGACAAACCGGAGGAAGGUGGGGAUGACGUCAAGUCCUCAUGGCCCUUAUGGGUAGGGCUUCACACGUCAUACAAUGGUACAUACAGAGGGCCGCCAACCCGCGAGGGGAGCUAAUCCCAGAAAGUGUAUCGUAGU
This 515-nucleotide ribosomal RNA is filed under the name uncultured bacterium. RNAcentral's name for it is "bacterial SSU rRNA". It matches the Rfam family "Bacterial small subunit ribosomal RNA", at positions 772 to 1292 of the family's 1533-position model. The record is from RNAcentral.